GUAGAAAGUUUCUAGAAACAAACUGAACCCUUUUUCUUCCUGGAAGUUCAAUACACAACAAUCUUCUUCUUCUUCUUCACUGCAAUUCAUCACCUUUUUCACUGCACCUUCAUCAAAUUUGAACCCUUCAUCACCUUCGAAAUUGGUAAAGCUUGAAACCCUAACUUUCAUAGAAAUUCAACUGCUUCAUUCAAACUUGAAAGAAUGAACCGUUCCCUUCGCUGCAAACCUGGGGGUCUUGCUCCUCUAAGCGGGGACAAUUCAAGAAGAAUUAAGAGACGAACCGUUCCCUUCACUCAUUCAUUUUGUUAAUUGAUUGCGUUAAAUUCAACAAGGUUGCUGAUUUUGGACUGGCAAAGUGGCAGUCUAAUGGACUAAUGGAGACACCAGAGUGGAAACUAGAGUUAUUGGGACAUUUGAGUACACUACUACAUUUAGUAAGAGUAGUUAUAGAGACGUUUGAGGCAUGUAACUGUACUUCCAGGAAAAGGCUCUGAUAGAGGAAAACAUCAAAUCCAAGGGAUUCGUGCUGGUAUCAUUUCGCCUGUCUUGGAAGUUGAUCUCCUAGAAGAAGUUAUUCAGGUAGCUUGCAAUACUAAUACAUUGGUAUUCAAUUAUCAAUUAUGAUCAAGAAAAUCCACCUCAAGCAUUAGUGAAAGAAGCAAUUGUUGAUGAGAGAUUUGAGCUAUCUCUUUUUUUAAUCAUCUUAUUUUAAUUAUCAUUAUAUUUGUUGUGGUAUUAUAUUGCUAUUGCAAGUUUUUAGUUUGAUAAUGAUUAAAACUUUUGUAACAUUGUUGAUAGUGGCAUGUUUUAAGAGAGAAGACUUGUUCUUGUGAUGCAUUAUAUAUAGUCAAUAAGUUAAUGUCUUUAACUAAUGUCUUUGAUUGUUUUACAUUCCAUUCACUAAGCACUUCAUUCAGUGGUUAUAAUUUCAAAAUCAAGCUUGAAUUUUUAUGAUCUUACUUAUUUUCUGUGUAUAUUGCUUUGAAUUAUUAAUUAGCAUAUAUUGAAUAAUGCUAGGAAAGGUUCUUUAGAACAGUAUUUAAAUUAAUAUUUUUAGAACGCAAUUUUUUUUAAAAAAAUUUGCCAUGCUUUUUAAGUCGGGUGAAAUAUAACCGAUCUAAUAAGCUGUUUCUUAGGUCAGUUCCAAAUCUGUGUUAACAACUCAAUACUUCUUAUGUCGGCUUUUCUUAGGUCGGACGCGAAACCGACUUAAAAGGUCACUUUAAACUGACCUAAGAAGUGUUUUCUUAAGUCAGGUAAUAACCGACUUAAAAAGUCAAGACUUCUUAUGUCGUUAACUGUUAAGACAGGCACGGAACUGACUUAAAAAGUCAUUUUUAACCGACCUAAGAAGUGUUUUUUCCAC
Molecule: long non-coding RNA, 1369 nt
Organism: Trifolium pratense (red clover)
Lineage: Eukaryota; Viridiplantae; Streptophyta; Magnoliopsida; Fabales; Fabaceae
Exons: 3
Source: RefSeq, a predicted model, not a curated record